CGGGACCUCUCUGAUUGGCCGUGGUCCAGUUGAAAGUGCAGGUGGAAGAGAGAGGGUGGAUUAUCCUGGCCACAGCCAUCGGGGAAUACCAUUUCCAUGAAAGGGUGUACAUGCUCUGGAACAGUGCUUAGGAUUCAACACCUUGACCACAAGAGCGGAAACAUGAAACAAGCUUUUCAACAAACAAGUCAGAACACAUUAUAUAGUCUUUCCUCGCAUUUCUAAGCUAAUAUGAACAGGUGGCGAUUUAAUACUGUCCUCAAAUAAAGGCUGGAAUUCAUAAUACAAGGAAUAUUACUU
Molecule: long non-coding RNA, 300 nt
Organism: Oreochromis aureus
Lineage: Eukaryota; Metazoa; Chordata; Actinopteri; Cichliformes; Cichlidae
Exons: 3
Source: RefSeq, a predicted model, not a curated record